UGUAGGAGCGAGCUUGCUCGCGAUGGUGUGUCAUUCAGCCUGAUGUCGACUGACACACCAUCGCGAGCAGGCUCGCUCCUACA
This 83-nucleotide unclassified non-coding RNA is filed under the name Pseudomonas jessenii. Lineage: Bacteria; Pseudomonadati; Pseudomonadota; Gammaproteobacteria; Pseudomonadales; Pseudomonadaceae. The record is from RNAcentral.